Molecule: ribosomal RNA, 492 nt
Filed under: uncultured bacterium
Lineage: Bacteria
Description: partial 16S ribosomal RNA
Rfam family: Bacterial small subunit ribosomal RNA
Source: RNAcentral
AUUGAACGCUGGCGGUAGGCCUAACACAUGCAAGUCGAACGGCAGCACAGUAAUAGCUUGCUCUUACGGGUGCCGAGUGGCGGGCGGGUGAGGAAUACAUCGGAAUCUACUUUUUCGUGGGUGAUAACGUAGGCAAACUUACGCUAUUACCGCAUACGACCUACGGGUGAAAGCAGGGGAUCUUCGGACCUUGCGCGAUUGUAUGAGGCGAUGUCGGAUUAGCUAGUUGGCGGGGUAAAGGCCCACCAAGGCGACGAUCCGUAGCUGGUCUGAGAGGAUGAUCAGCCACACUGGAACUGAGACACGGUCCAGACUCCUACGGGAGGCAGCAGUGGGGAAUAUUGGACAAUGGGCGCAAGCCUGAUCCAGCCAUGCCGCGUGGGUGAAGAAGGUCUUCGGAUUGUAAAGCACUUUUGUUGGGAAAGAAGAGCAGUAGGUUAAUACCCCGCUGUUUUGACGGUACCAAAAGAAUAAGCACCGGCUAACUUCGUG